This 700-nucleotide ribosomal RNA is filed under the name uncultured bacterium. Its description in RNAcentral is "bacterial SSU rRNA". It matches the Rfam family "Bacterial small subunit ribosomal RNA", at positions 94 to 802 of the family's 1533-position model. The record is from RNAcentral.
AGCGGCGGACGGGUGAGUAAUGCUUGGGAACAUGCCUUGAGGUGGGGGACAACAGUUGGAAACGACUGCUAAUACCGCAUAAUGUCUACGGACCAAAGGGGGCUUCGGCUCUCGCCUUUAGAUUGGCCCAAGUGGGAUUAGCUAGUUGGUGAGGUAAUGGCUCACCAAGGCGACGAUCCCUAGCUGGUUUGAGAGGAUGAUCAGCCACACUGGGACUGAGACACGGCCCAGACUCCUACGGGAGGCAGCAGUGGGGAAUAUUGCACAAUGGGCGCAAGCCUGAUGCAGCCAUGCCGCGUGUGUGAAGAAGGCCUUCGGGUUGUAAAGCACUUUCAGUCAGGAGGAAAGGUUAGUAGUUAAUACCUGCUAGCUGUGACGUUACUGACAGAAGAAGCACCGGCUAACUCCGUGCCAGCAGCCGCGGUAAUACGGAGGGUGCGAGCGUUAAUCGGAAUUACUGGGCGUAAAGCGUACGCAGGCGGUUUGUUAAGCGAGAUGUGAAAGCCCCGGGCUCAACCUGGGAACUGCAUUUCGAACUGGCAAACUAGAGUGUGAUAGAGGGUGGUAGAAUUUCAUGUGUAGCGGUGAAAUGCGUAGAGAUCUGAUGAUACCGAUGGCGACGCAGCCACCUGGGUCACACUGACGCUCAUGUACGAAGCAUGAGAGCCAACCAGCAUAGAUACCCUGGUAGUCCACGCCU